GACGAACGCUGGCGGCGUGCCUAAUACAUGCAAGUUGAGCGCUGAAGGUUGGUACUUGUACCAACUGGAUGAGCAGCGAACGGGUGAGUAACGCGUGGGGAAUCUGCCUUUGAGCGGGGGACAACAUUUGGAAACGAGUGCUAAUACCGCAUAAAAACUUUAAACACAAGUUUUAAGUUUGAAAGAUGCAAUUGCAUCACUCAAAGAUGAUCCCGCGUUGUAUUAGCUAGUUGGUGAGGUAAAGGCUCACCAAGGCGAUGAUACAUAGCCGACCUGAGAGGGUGAUCGGCCACAAUGGGACUGAGACACGGCCCAAACUCCUACGGGAGGCAGCAGUAGGGAAUCUUCGGCAAUGGACGAAAGUCUGACCGAGCAACGCCGCGUGAGUGAAGAAGGUUUUCGGAUCGUAAAACUCUGUUGGUAGAGAAGAACGUUGGUGAGAGUGGAAAGCUCAUCAAGUGACGGUAACUACCCAGAAAGGGACGGCUAACUACGUG
RNAcentral lists this ribosomal RNA (497 nucleotides) under uncultured bacterium. Its description in RNAcentral is "partial 16S ribosomal RNA". It matches the Rfam family "Bacterial small subunit ribosomal RNA", at positions 28 to 507 of the family's 1533-position model. The record is from RNAcentral.